GAAGACUCCGCAGUCUUUUAAAAGACAGCCAUAUUCCUCUAGGGUCAAAGCAUCCAACCGAAACAAUGACCGUAUCAGUUGCCAAAGAUUCAGAACUGGAUGUGGACAACGAAGAUUAUUCGGAUUACCCGGAGGAACCGGAUCUAGUGGAAACUGCUGGGCACUCAGAACGAGAUGAAGAAUAUGAUGAAGUUUUCGAAGAAGUACACAAUCGAAAGCUGGACAAAAGCAGAGUGAAAACAGCAUCUAAGGAAAGAAAUGAGUUGGCGAAAAAGUACGCAGAGCAAAACGCAAAGUUGAAACUGAAACUUAAAGAGGUCAAGAAUAACUAUGCUUCAAUGCUCGAGAAAAAUAAAAAGAAAGGUGAAGAAUUUAUCAAGCAAAGUGAAAACUCGAAAGCAGUUGUCGAAAAAACCGUCCAAAUCAGCACUGUUCUCGAUUCACUGCAGAAAGAACGUGAAGAUUUGUCAGAGAUCAGAAAGAAAAACGAGCAGAAAAUUGAAGGACUAUCGCAAGAGUUGAUUGAGGCUUACGGAGAAAUUGAUGCGUUGAAAAUGAACAAUGAGAAACUGCAAGAACAUUUGGGUGAUUUGGAGCAACGUGUUGGACAUUUAAAAAUUCAGCCGGACUAUGAGAGCCUUCCACCAUUAAAGUGAACAUUUUGAUAUUGUUUGUUUUUGUUCAAAGUAUACCUCGACUCGACAUGACCGAUAUUGACAAUGACGAGAACGGCACGUUGCACGAGUUUUCUGAAAGAAGUGUUUUAUCGAAUCUUUCUGAAUUCGAUCAUGUACACCUUGCUGGUGCAUUAGCAGAAAUUGCUGGUGCUCAUUGUGAGCGAUUGCGUAUGAUCACUCAAUCAUAA
This 865-nucleotide unclassified non-coding RNA is filed under the name Caenorhabditis elegans. Its description in RNAcentral is "Non-coding transcript of protein-coding gene Y102A11A.9d". The record is from RNAcentral. Lineage: Eukaryota; Metazoa; Nematoda; Chromadorea; Rhabditida; Rhabditidae.